Molecule: long non-coding RNA, 1472 nt
Organism: Serinus canaria (Common canary)
Lineage: Eukaryota; Metazoa; Chordata; Aves; Passeriformes; Fringillidae
Exons: 3
Source: RefSeq, a predicted model, not a curated record
ACAAUUCAUUCCUCUCUUCCUGCAGAGCACGGCAGAGGUUCUCUAGUCUCUGGAUUUUCAGCACGAAGCACUCGUAUUCCUUGGACCUCAUGGCUUUCUGUAGUCAAAGACAUCAGGCAAAGCUCUGCAUUGCAUAUUCAUCACCACUUGGCUGCACGAAUGUGCAGUUAAUGGGAAUUCCACACACCAGAUGAGUGAAGAUGACAUUUACAUGACAUGAUGUGCACAUAAUGUACCACAUGUUUCCUGAAAAAGAAGCAGUUUCCUAAAUAUCCAGGAACCUGCUGGACAAAACAACAAAAGAGGAGCUGGAGACCAGGAAUGCUGUUCAUGUGGGGGCUUUGUUGCUGAUGGAGGAGAAUUCUCUUCAGAGAAGAGUUUCCCAAAAUGACAUGUGGAACCUCCUCUUGCCAGGCUCCUCUGGCUCACAGGACCCUGUGAGAGUGUCUGUCAGUUGUGUUUCUGAAGGUCAUGUCAUCAGUGGGGGUGUGUCAUGGUGCAUCAAACCUCUUUUGGGCUCUUUGUCUCAGUAAAAUUCCUGGAGGAAACAUGGACAGUCCCUGCUGUUUCCUUGGGAGCCUUUUGUUCUGUGGGUGCAAGACUCCUGCCUUUCAUAGAAGGCUGGUAGGGAGCAGGGUGGAUUUGGAGGGGGCGAAGAGGACCAGCAACAUAAUUGCUAAUGGUAACCCCUGCACAGUCUGGUUAUUUCUUUUGAUGUGUGUCCAUCACUGGAUGUUUGGAAAAAAAUUCCUGUACUGUAAAUUAGCACCCUAACAGUGAGGUCAAAGAAGUCUUUCACCUCUGAAGCUUUUAAUGAUUUCAUCUUCUGAUCCAACACACAAUAACCCUCCUCACUAUAUCACAGAUGUGCAUACAUUGCAAAGUAUUUCUGAAAUCCAGAUGUUUUCUGAUUGAAAAACAGUUGCACGUGAGCUUUAACAUGCAAACCUUAAUAAUAACAGUUGCUGUUAGGACUACAUUAUCUAAUAAUAUGCUAUCACUUGUACUAAUUAACCCCAGUAUGACUGGGAAAGCCUGUGAGCACUGGGGAAUGAUGUGCAGCUCAAACAAGACAGUCAACAGCAUCAUAUUUUACACUUUCAUCUGUUUUCUGUAGUUGUUCAGUAGUUUAUGUUUACAGUAGAGAGCUCUAUGUAUUAUUAAUCAAAUCACAGCUAAGUGUACCACAAAACAAUGCUCUCAUCAGCUUGGAGUAUAUUUACAGUUUAUGUCCAACUUUUAACACAUGUAUUGUCUAUUUUUGCUUCUGUAGAUCACUAGAUGGGCUUUUGCAUCUAAACAAGCUGCACUAGCUGAAAUAAUUUUUCUAGUAUUGUAGGAAAAUAAAUUUAUUUUCUGUAAUUAAGGCUGAGAUAUUUUUUCAUCAUAAGUUUGGUUUUGUCCCCUUCCCCUUUCUGCUGAAAAACAUAAAAGUGUUCUUUUUGCUUCACAUUUUGCAUGCACAGCCUGUG